UUGGACCCUUUUGACCUCAAUAUGAACCAAUUUGAUAGCGGGGCCUACAAAUAAAAAAUCUAAAUACAUGGUUAGAUUCAGCAUAUCAAAGAACCUCAUAUAUUCAAUUUUUGUUGAAAUCAAACAAAUUUAAUUUUGGACCCCAAUUUGGACCAACUUGAAAACUGGGCCAAAAAUCAAAAAUCUAAAUACAUGUUAAGAUUCAGCAUAUCAAAGAACCUCAUAUAUUCAAUUUUUGCUAAAAUCAAACAAA
Long non-coding RNA from Mytilus californianus (California mussel), 253 nucleotides. RefSeq lists it as uncharacterized. The record is from RefSeq and is a predicted model, not a curated record. The transcript has 2 exons. Lineage: Eukaryota; Metazoa; Mollusca; Bivalvia; Mytilida; Mytilidae.